Molecule: ribosomal RNA, 504 nt
Filed under: uncultured bacterium
Lineage: Bacteria
Description: partial 16S ribosomal RNA
Rfam family: Bacterial small subunit ribosomal RNA
Source: RNAcentral
ACUCAAAGGAAUUGACGGGGGCCCGCACAAGCAGCGGAGCAUGUGGCUUAAUUCGACGCAACGCGAAGAACCUUACCAAGGCUUGACAUAUACCGGAAACGGCUAGAGAUAGUCGCCCCCUUGUGGUCGGUAUACAGGUGGUGCAUGGUUGUCGUCAGCUCGUGUCGUGAGAUGUUGGGUUAAGUCCCGCAACGAGCGCAACCCUUGUUCUGUGUUGCCAGCAUGCCUUUCGGGGUGAUGGGGACUCACAGGAGACUGCCGGGGUCAACUCGGAGGAAGGUGGGGACGACGUCAAAUCAUCAUGCCCCUUAUGUCUUGGGCUGCACACGUGCUACAAUGGUCGGUACAAAGGGCUGCGAUGCCGCGAGGCGGAGCGAAUCCCAAAAAGCCGGCCUCAGUUCGGAUUGGGGUCUGCAACUCGACCCCAUGAAGUUGGAGUUGCUAGUAAUCGCAGAUCAGCAUGCUGCGGUGAAUACGUUCCCGGGCCUUGUACACACCGCCCGU